Molecule: ribosomal RNA, 497 nt
Filed under: uncultured bacterium
Lineage: Bacteria
Description: partial 16S ribosomal RNA
Rfam family: Bacterial small subunit ribosomal RNA
Source: RNAcentral
GAUGAACGCUGGCGGCGUGCCUAAUACAUGCAAGUCGAGCGAACAGACGAGGAGCUUGCUCCUCUGACGUUAGCGGCGGACGGGUGAGUAACACGUGGAUAACCUACCUAUAAGACUGGGAUAACUUCGUGAAACCGGAGCUAAUACCGGAUAAUAUAUUUAACCGCAUGGUUCAAUAGUGAAAGACGGUUUUGCUGUCACUUAUAGAUGGAUCCGCGCCGCAUUAGCUAGUUGGUAAGGUAACGGCUUACAAAGGCAACGAUGCGUAGCCGACCUGAGAGGCUGAUCCGACCCAGUGGAACUGACACGCGGUCGAGCCUCCUAAGGGAGGCAGCAGUAGGGACUCAUCAGCCAUAGUAGAGAGCUUGACGGAGCAACGCGGCGUGAGUGCUGAAGGGCUUCGGAUCGUAAAACUCGGCUAUUAGGGCCGAACAACUGUGUAAGUAACCAUGCCCGAAUUGACGGUCCCUAAUCAGAAAGCAACGGCCAACUACGUG